This 83-nucleotide transfer RNA is filed under the name Dreissena polymorpha. It matches the Rfam family "tRNA". From Rfam's summary of the family: Transfer RNA (tRNA) molecules are approximately 80 nucleotides in length. Their secondary structure includes four short double-helical elements and three loops (D, anti-codon, and T loops). Further hydrogen bonds mediate the characteristic L-shaped molecular structure. tRNAs have two regions of fundamental functional importance: the anti-codon, which is responsible for specific mRNA codon recognition, and the 3' end, to which the tRNAs corresponding amino acid is attached (by aminoacyl-tRNA synthetases). tRNAs cope with the degeneracy of the genetic code in two manners: having more than one tRNA (with a specific anti-codon) for a particular amino acid; and 'wobble' base-pairing, i.e. permitting non-standard base-pairing at the 3rd anti-codon position. Lineage: Eukaryota; Metazoa; Mollusca; Bivalvia; Myida; Dreissenidae. The record is from Rfam by way of RNAcentral.
GUUGUUGUGGUCGAGUGGUUACAGCAACAGACUAGAAAUCUUUUGGGAUCUUUCACGCACAGGUUUGAAUCCUGCCAAUAAUG